RNAcentral lists this ribosomal RNA (497 nucleotides) under uncultured bacterium. RNAcentral describes it as "partial 16S ribosomal RNA". It matches the Rfam family "Bacterial small subunit ribosomal RNA", at positions 28 to 507 of the family's 1533-position model. The record is from RNAcentral.
GAUGAACGCUGGCGGCGUGCCUAAUACAUGCAAGUCGAGCGAACAGACGAGGAGCUUGCUCCUCUGACGUUAGCGGCGGACGGGUGAGUAACACGUGGAUAACCUACCUAUAAGACUGGGAUAACUUCGGGAAACCGGAGCUAAUACCGGAUAAUAUAUUGAACCGCAUGGGUCAAUAGUGAAAGACGGUUUUGCUGUCACUUAUAGAUGGAUCCGCGCCGCAUUAGCUAGUUGGUAAGAUAACGGCUUACCAAGGCAACGAUGCGUAACCGACCUGAGAGGGUGGUCGCCCACACUGGAACUGAGACACGGUCCAGACUCCUACGGGAGGCAGCAGUAGGGAAUCUUCCGCAAAGGGCGAAAGCCUGACGGAGCAACGCCGCGUGAGUGAUGAAGGUCUUCGGAUCGUAAAACUCUGUUAUUAGGGAAGAACAAAUGUGUAAGUAACUAUGCACGUCUUGACGGUACCUAAUCAGAAAGCCACGGCUAACUACGUG